GAUGAACGCUGACAGAAUGCUUAACACAUGCAAGUCUACUUGAAUUUGGGUUUUUUAACUUCGAUUUGGGUGGCGGACGGGUGAGUAACGCGUAAAGAACUUGCCUCACAGUUAGGGACAACAUUUGGAAACGAAUGCUAAUACCUGAUAUUAUGAAUAUAUGGCAUCAUAUAAUUAUGAAAGCUAUAAGCGCUGUGAGAGAGCUUUGCGUCCCAUUAGCUAGUUGGAGAGGUAACGGCUCACCAAGGCGAUGAUGGGUAGCCGGCCUGAGAGGGUGAACGGCCACAAGGGGACUGAGACACGGCCCUUACUCCUACGGGAGGCAGCAGUGGGGAAUAUUGGACAAUGGACCAAGAGUCUGAUCCAGCAAUUCUGUGUGCACGAUGACGUUUUUCGGAAUGUAAAGUGCUUUCAGUUGGGAAGAAAAAAAUGACGGUACCAACAGAAGAAGUGACGGCUAAAUACGUG
RNAcentral lists this ribosomal RNA (468 nucleotides) under uncultured bacterium. RNAcentral describes it as "partial 16S ribosomal RNA". It matches the Rfam family "Bacterial small subunit ribosomal RNA", at positions 28 to 507 of the family's 1533-position model. The record is from RNAcentral.